UUGGAGUCGGUGAGGGAUAACGAUAGCCUUGACAAAUAAUUUAUAAGUAAAUGACUAUUUUGCAAACAAAUAAUCAAAUACUGACACGUGGAGAACGGUGGUAGGAGUAGAUUUAUAUAUUAUUGUCUUUAUUAUUAUUAAUAUACAUUUUUUAUUAUAUAUUAUUUUUAUGAGGUUUAUCAUCUUCAAUUUUGGUUGAUCACUAUCUUUCUCCCAUAUCUCAACUCCAUUUUUUUUUCCUGAAUCCCAUAUCUCAACGGCUUGCUUUCCGAACAAAAGAGUGGUGGUGGUGACGAUUGGAGUAUCAGGCGAAGAAAUGGGGUUCAUCUUGGUGGUGUCACUGCCGUUGAUUUUGUUCAUAUUGAUCGUAGCCCUUGCUUUUUAUCUUCUUGGAAGGGCCCGGGGUCGCUCUGAAUCGACCCAUGUUACACAUUCUUAUGGGCCUCCCGCUCCUCCAUUCCAAGCCCAACUACCUCUCCAAGACAAAACAUAGCUGUAGGUCACAUUUGGAUUAGGGCCCAAUAAAAUUCUUAUUUACUUAUCAUCUUUGUUUUUAAAAAAUGUAUUUUGGAUAUGUUGAGACUUGAAACUGAGAGUAGGGAAUAAUAUAUUUUUAAAAGUUAUGUUAA
Long non-coding RNA from Humulus lupulus (European hop), 629 nucleotides. RefSeq lists it as uncharacterized. The record is from RefSeq and is a predicted model, not a curated record. The transcript is spliced from 2 exons. Lineage: Eukaryota; Viridiplantae; Streptophyta; Magnoliopsida; Rosales; Cannabaceae.